GUAGUCAUACGCUCGUCUCAAAGAUUAAGCCAUGCAUGUGUAAGUAUAAAUAGUUAACUUUGAAACUGCGAAUGGCUCAUUAUAUCAGUUAUAGUUUAUUUGAUGAAGAAUACUAAUUGGAUAACCGUAGUAAUUCUAGAGCUAAUACAUGUAUAAAGUCUUGUAGACUGCAUUUAUUAGAAUGAAAACCAUAGGUUUCGGCCUAUUCGUGAGUAAUAAUAACUAAUCAUAUCGUAUGCUUAUGUAACGAUGUGUCUUUCAAGUUUCUGCCCUAUCAGC
RNAcentral lists this ribosomal RNA (279 nucleotides) under Blastocystis sp. Its description in RNAcentral is "partial small subunit ribosomal RNA". It matches the Rfam family "Eukaryotic small subunit ribosomal RNA", at positions 20 to 319 of the family's 1831-position model. The record is from RNAcentral. Lineage: Eukaryota; Bigyra; Opalinata; Blastocystidae.